Molecule: ribosomal RNA, 514 nt
Filed under: uncultured bacterium
Lineage: Bacteria
Description: partial 16S ribosomal RNA
Rfam family: Bacterial small subunit ribosomal RNA
Source: RNAcentral
GAUGAACGCUGGCGGCGUGCCUAAUACAUGCAAGUCGAGCGAACAGAUGAGAAGCUUGCUUCUCUGAUGUUAGCGGCGGACGGGUGAGUAACACGUGGGUAACCUACCUAUAAGACUGGGAUAACUCCGGGAAACCGGGGCUAAUACCGGAUAAUAUUUUGAACCGCAUGGUUCAAUAGUGAAAGACGGUUUCGGCUGUCACUUAUAGAUGGACCCGCGCCGUAUUAGCUAGUUGGGAAGGUAACGGCUUACCAAGGCGACGAUACGUAGCCGACCUGAGAGGGUGAUCGGCCACACUGGAACUGAGACACGGUCCAGACUCCUACGGGAGGCAGCAGUAGGGAAUCUUCCGCAAUGGGCGAAAGCCUGACGGGGCAACGCCGCGUGAGUGAUGAAGGUCUUCGGAUCGUAAAACUCUGUUGUUAGGGAAGAACAAAUUUGUUAGUAACUGAACAAGUCUUGACGGUACCUAACCAGAAAGCCACGGCUAACUACGUGCCAGCCGCCGCAGUAA